GACGAACGCUGGCGGCGUGCUUAACACAUGCAAGUCGAACGGAAAGGCCCUGCUUUUGUGGGGUGCUCGAGUGGCGAACGGGUGAGUAACACGUGAGUAACCUGCCCUUGACUUUGGGAUAACUUCAGGAAACUGGGGCUAAUACCGGAUAGGAGCUCCUGCUGCAUGGUGGGGGUUGGAAAGUUUCGGCGGUUGGGGAUGGACUCGCGGCUUAUCAGCUUGUUGGUGGGGUAGUGGCUUACCAAGGCUUUGACGGGUAGCCGGCCUGAGAGGGUGACCGGCAACAUUGGGACUGAGAGACGGCCCGGACGCCUACGGGGGGCAGCAGGGGGGAAUAUGGCACAAGGGGGGGAAGCCGGAUGCAGCAACGCCGCGUGGGGGAUGACGGCUUUCGGGUUGUAAACCGCUUUCGCCUGGAACGAAGGGUGAGGGAGGGUAAGGGGUAAAGAAGCACCGGCUAACUACGUG
RNAcentral lists this ribosomal RNA (468 nucleotides) under uncultured bacterium. RNAcentral's name for it is "partial 16S ribosomal RNA". It matches the Rfam family "Bacterial small subunit ribosomal RNA", at positions 28 to 507 of the family's 1533-position model. The record is from RNAcentral.